AGAGUUUGAUCCUGGCUCAGGAUGAACGCUAGCUACAGGCUUAACACAUGCAAGUCGAGGGGAAACGACAUCGAAAGCUUGCUUUUGAUGGGCGUCGACCGGCGCACGGGUGAGUAACGCGUAUCCAACCUGCCCACCACUUGGGGAUAACCUUGCGAAAGUAAGACUAAUACCCAAUGACGUCUCUAGAAGACAUCUGAAAGAGAUUAAAGAUUUAUCGGUGAUGGAUGGGAUGCGUCUGAUUAGCUUGUUGGCGGGGUAACGGCCACAAGGCGACGAUCAGUAGGGGUUCUGAGAGGAAGGUCCCCACAUUGGAACUGGAGACACGGUCCAAACGUUCCUACGGGAGGCA
Molecule: ribosomal RNA, 352 nt
Filed under: uncultured bacterium
Lineage: Bacteria
Description: bacterial SSU rRNA
Rfam family: Bacterial small subunit ribosomal RNA
Source: RNAcentral